Molecule: ribosomal RNA, 492 nt
Filed under: uncultured bacterium
Lineage: Bacteria
Description: partial 16S ribosomal RNA
Rfam family: Bacterial small subunit ribosomal RNA
Source: RNAcentral
AGUGAACGCUGGCGGUAGGCCUAACACAUGCAAGUCGAACGGCAGCACAGUAAGAGCUUGCUCUUACGGGUGGCGAGUGGCGGACGGGUGAGGAAUACAUCGGAAUCUACUUUUUCGUGGGGGAUAACGUCGGGAAACUUACGCUAAUACCGCAUACGACCUACGGGUGAAAGCAGGGGAUCUUCGGACCUUGCGCGAUUGAAUGAGCCGAUGUCGGAUUAGCUAGUUGGCGGGGUAAAGGCCCACCAAGGCGACGUUCCGUAGCUGGUCUGAGAGGAUGAUCAGCCACACUGGAACUGAGACACGGUCCAGACUCCUACGGGAGGCAGCAGUGGGGAAUAUUGGACAAUGGGCGCAAGCCUGAUCCAGCCAUACCGCGUGGGUGAAGAAGGCCUUCGGGUUGUAAAGCCCUUUUGUUGGGAAAGAAAAGCAGCAGGUUAAUACCCCGCUGUUCUGACGGUACCCAAAGAAUAAGCACCGGCUAACUUCGUG